CAGCAGCCGCGGGAAUACGGAGGGUGCAAGCGUUAAUCGGAAUUACUGGGCGUAAAGCGCACGCAGGCGGUCUGUCAAGUCGGAUGUGAAAUCCCCGGGCUCAACCUGGGAACUGCAUUCGAAACUGGCAGGCUAGAGUCUUGUAGAGGGGGGUAGAAUUCCAGGUGUAGCGGUGAAAUGCGUAGAGAUCUGGAGGAAUACCGGUGGCGAAGGCGGCCCCCUGGACAAAGACUGACGCUCAGGUGCGAAAGCGUGGGGAGCAAACAGGAUUAGAUACCCCGGUAGUCCCUGUCUCUUAUAA
Molecule: ribosomal RNA, 301 nt
Filed under: uncultured bacterium
Lineage: Bacteria
Description: partial 16S ribosomal RNA
Rfam family: Bacterial small subunit ribosomal RNA
Source: RNAcentral